GAGGGUGCGGCUCGGGGUAGAGCGCGUACUUGGCAGGCACAAGGUCCUGGGUUCAAUCCCCAGCACCUCUC
RNAcentral lists this transfer RNA (71 nucleotides) under Camelus bactrianus (Bactrian camel). It matches the Rfam family "tRNA". Rfam says of the family: Transfer RNA (tRNA) molecules are approximately 80 nucleotides in length. Their secondary structure includes four short double-helical elements and three loops (D, anti-codon, and T loops). RNAcentral also lists the same sequence under 2 other names. The record is from Rfam by way of RNAcentral. Lineage: Eukaryota; Metazoa; Chordata; Mammalia; Artiodactyla; Camelidae.